GACGAACGCUGGCGGCGUGCUUAACACAUGCGAGUCGAACGGAAAGGCCCUGCUUUUGUGGGGUGCUCGAGUGGCGAACGGGUGAGUAACACGUGAGUAACCUGCCCUUGACUUUGGGAUAACUUCAGGAAACUGGGGCUAAUACCGGAUAGGAGCUCCUGCUGCAUGGUGGGGGUUGGAAAGUUUCGGCGGUUGGGGAUGGACUCGCGGCUUAUCAGCUUGUUGGUGGGGUAGUGGCUUACCAAGGCUUUGACGGGUAGCCGGCCUGAGAGGGUGACCGGCCACAUUGGGACUGAGAUACGGCCCAGACUCCUACGGGGGGCAGCAGUGGGGAAUAUUGCACAAUGGGCGGAAGCCUGAUGCAGCAACGCCGCGUGCGGGAUGACGGCCUUCGGGUUGUAAACCGCUUUCGCCUGUGACGAAGCGUGAGUGACGGUAAUGGGUAAAGAAGCACCGGCUAACUACGUG
Molecule: ribosomal RNA, 468 nt
Filed under: uncultured bacterium
Lineage: Bacteria
Description: partial 16S ribosomal RNA
Rfam family: Bacterial small subunit ribosomal RNA
Source: RNAcentral